GACGAACGCUGGCGGCGUGCUUAACACAUGCAAGUCGAACGGAAAGGCCCUGCUAUUGUGGGGUGCUCGAGUGGCGAACGGGUGAGUAACACGUGAGUAACCUGCCCUUGACUUUGGGAUAACUUCAGGAAACUGGGGCUAAUACCGGAUAGGAGCUCCUGCUGCAUGGUGGGGGUUGGAAAGUUUCGGCGGUUGGGGAUGGACUCGCGGCUUAUCAGCUUGUUGGUGGGGUAGUGGCUUACCAAGGCUUUGACGGGUAGCCGGCCUGAGAGGGUGACCGGCCACAUUGGGACUGAGAUACGGCCCAGACUCCUACGGGAGGCAGCAGGGGGGAAUAUUGCACAAUGGGCGGAAGCCUGAUGCAGCAACGCCGCGUGCGGGAUGACGGCCUUCGGGUUGUAAACCGCUUUCGCCUGUGACGAAGCGUGAGUGACGGUAAUGGGUAAAGAAGCACCGGCUAACUACGUG
RNAcentral lists this ribosomal RNA (468 nucleotides) under uncultured bacterium. Its description in RNAcentral is "partial 16S ribosomal RNA". It matches the Rfam family "Bacterial small subunit ribosomal RNA", at positions 28 to 507 of the family's 1533-position model. The record is from RNAcentral.